GAACAAUGGAUGGCCGAGUAACGACUGUGACACAAAGAUAGGUGGGCAAGUGACGAGGGUGACAAAGAUGGAUGGGGGCGGGAGACGAGUGUGAUAAAGAUUGUCAGGAAGGUGACAAGGGUUAGAAGGACGGGUGGGUCGUGUGACGAGGGUGACAAAGAUAGGCAGGCGGGUGACAAAGAUGGGCAGGCGGGUGACUAGGGUGACAAAGAUGGGCAGGCGUGUGACGAGGGUGACAAAGAUGGGAGGGCGAGUGGAUGACACACAGGCGACUUCAAACCGGCAAUGCCGUCCUCUCAGCUAACGGCGGUUGGGGCCAUGGCAAAC
Long non-coding RNA from Priapulus caudatus, 327 nucleotides. RefSeq lists it as uncharacterized. The record is from RefSeq and is a predicted model, not a curated record. NCBI's taxonomy places the organism in Eukaryota, Metazoa, Priapulida, Priapulimorpha, Priapulimorphida, Priapulidae. The transcript is spliced from 2 exons.